This 253-nucleotide ribosomal RNA is filed under the name uncultured bacterium. Its description in RNAcentral is "partial 16S ribosomal RNA". It matches the Rfam family "Bacterial small subunit ribosomal RNA", at positions 524 to 776 of the family's 1533-position model. The record is from RNAcentral.
UACGUAGGGCGCAAGCGUUAUCCGGAAUUAUUGGGCGUAAAGAGCUCGUAGGCGGUUUGUCGCGUCUGCCGUGAAGGUCCGGGGCUCAACUCCGGAUCUGCGGUGGGUACGGGCAGACUAGAGUGAUGUAGGGGAGACUGGAAUUCCUGGCGUAGCGGUGAAAUGCGCAGAUAUCAGGAGGAACACCGAUGGCGAAGGCAGGUCUCUGGGCAUUAACUGACGCUGAGGAGCGAAAGCAUGGGGAGCGAACAGG